UUAAUCUUGUUCCUCAAUUUUAUCUGUUCUUCUUCAUCUAUGUCUUUCCUAAUUCAUCUGUUUCAUCUUCUAAUCCUCUAAUUCUCCCUAUCUUUCUUCAAUAAUCUCUAAUCCUAUCAACCGAUCUAUUUUUGUAUAUCCACUUGUAGUGAUGUUCACUAUAAGUGGUAUCAGAGCGGUCGAUUUUGCGACUGCAAAUAUGGUAUCCCUCACAGAAAUUGAAGAACUAUCCCUUAAAAUUGAUAAGUUAGUAAACCUAACUGAAAUUGAAGAACUAUCGCUUCGAGUUGAUACGUUAGUGUGAGCUCUGGAUGAGAUAUCGAAAGAGUUGGGUGAUUGCCAAAGUAAACCAUCUCCGGAGUUGUUAGCCAUAUGGAAGCGAUUUCUAACAACAAAAGCAAAAAUACUUCUCUAUUAGAGCAUAAUAUAUAUGUGAGUGAAUCUAUUGAUGAAGACUGGAAAUCUAACUCGUUUGACAACUUCGAAUUAGUUGGGUCGGUGAUGAAGAAAGUGCCGCUGAUUGUGAAAGUAAUCGAUGAGAAACUUGAAGCAGCUACUGUUGAUUCAAGUUUAGAUAGUAAUUUCACUCAACAAUCUUCAAAUCCACCAGUACCAGAUGCGUCAGAUGGAGUUUUAGGUUCUUUUCCUGUUACAAAUCGUUCUCACAAAUCGGGUGAAUCGUAGAUGACCGAGGAUGAAAUUGUUUUCAAAUCGAAAUCAAUUUCACUUGAUUCAGGUGAUUUGAGUUCAGUUGAAGGUAAUUUUCGAUCUACACCACUAAUUAUUUUAUCUAUUAUCAAUGAAUCAGGUAGUAUCGAUGGAUCUGUUGGUAUUGACAAGACUCAGAAAUACAAGUCGACUACAAUGUUUCUAGACUACCAAGAAGGUAACAAAUGGAUACAAGCGUGUCGUCAACAAGCUCCUUGAAGAGCAUCCACAGCGGAAUAAUGUUCUUUGCACUAUUUCAAGAUCUUAUGUGACAAAGAAAUGUGUGUCUGGAAGUGCUGGUGACCUAAAUCUUCAUAUUCAUUCUAACAGUAGAUGGAGUUUCAAAGGAAAUGUGGGAUCUCUAAAGUUACAUCUGAGAUAUUGUGUAUGAAGAAUUCUGAGCGGUGCAAGAUAUUUCCAUUAUAGCGUGUAUGUUACUGGAAAGGUAUUUGAUCGAGGACAGUGGCUAGGAUGGAUUAUAAGUAGUUCUGAAUUAUGCUUGAAUAUUCUUACUUAUGAAUUGUUAGGGGAGCAUUCAAUUGUGCUUGUGUUUGGUAAUAAUAGUGACAGUUAGAUUGUUUGUAAGUUCCUUGAAGAACUGUUGCAGCAAGGUAAUCUUUUAUGGCUGUUCGAGAACACUCAUGAGCUUAUGGACCAAAAUUUUGGUAACUGUAAAAAGAGUUUCAGCGGUAACAAAAGGUAUCUUAAACUGCAGAUGGGAUAUUGUUUACUUGAAAUGUCUGAGGGCGUGGCAGUUUGAGUGGUGGAAGGUGCCUCUGUUGUAACCAGGAUAUUGCUGGAAGAGUAUUUGAUAGAGGAAGGUUGCUGGAGAUGAUCAUAAGGAUUAGUAACUUCUGCCUAGAUACUCUUGAUCAUUGUAUUAUUGUUCUAAAGGGGUCAAAAAUGAUAGCUGAGUAUAGUGGGUAUGUCUUUUUAUUGUUAAAAAAAUGUUGACAGCUUAGAGGAUUGCGAGUUGUUUGAUGGAGCCCUACAUCAAAUUCACAUUCUCUGUACUAUUUUGAGACUUAAUAUUACAAAGGAACAUAAAUCUGGCCAUGCACAAGAACCUUGUUAUCAGCUACUUGUUGGAGAUAUCAGUCAUAUUCAAAGGAAGGGAGCUUUACAGGGUUUCAAGAAGAUGGAAACACUUUUACCAGUUGGUGUUAUGCUUCUAAUGUGCAAACUGAUCGUUAUAAGGAAACUUAAUUAUUUGGUUUUCUCAUCUCAGUUUGGUUUCACUGUAUUCUCUCUUGGAUUAUGGAGUAUGGGAAAUGACAAUGACUAUGUAUUGAUUGUCACUGAGUCACAACCUGGAGCAUCUUGCUGUAUUGGUUUUGGUAUCCAUGAAUGGUUUUUAGGCUGGAGAAAAUUCCUUGUAAGAGUAGUGGGAAUCGUAGUGAUGCUUGUUGUAUUUAAGAGUGGUGAGAGCAUUACACAAGAGUUGUUGGAGGAAAUAAGUAAGAAAGCUACUAUGGUGUUUUCACUGGACAAAAAAUGCACAUCUGAGGUUUUUCUUCAUGGUGAUUCAAAUAGCAAUUUACAUAGGAGCCAGUGGAGUCAUUGAUGGUGUUGUGCUUGGUAAAGUCGUGUUUGAUAAAGGGCUCAACCAUCGGCACAAGGAAGUUGUGGGUGCAAUAGUAGGACAACUGAAGCAUGGGGUGUUUGGUGGUGAUAAGGAAGUCAUAUGCAAGAAUUGGAGGCAGUGGUAUGACAAGGUUGAGGUGAACAGGAAUGACCGAGCUUUGGAGAUGCAUUUAGAAGUCAUCUUGUCCCUUCCAGGUUCAUGCAUUGUGAGGUAUGGGAGUUGGAUGAUGUACAACUACACGGUAUACAUUAAAGUUCUCAACUCCACGUUCAAUCCAAUAUCACAUCGCUAGGGAUACUCUUCUCAAGUUGGUUGCUGUACAAGUACUUAUUUUCACCACAUCAUACGGCUUCCCCGUACACAGACUAUACAUGAAAGGAUGCAUGGUCGUCCUUGGAUGUUUUUGGCCAGCGUUGUUCACAAACUAGCUGCUUCACCUCAACUCAUUAUAAUUCAUCACCCUCGAGCAGCUGGUAAUAUCAAAGGACCUCUUAUUCUCCCGGGUGCUUUCACAGUCGGUAGCAGUGACAUUUUUGAAGUUAUUCAUGGUUGCGAUGGGAUCUUCGACAAUAUUAGCACUACAUAUUAUGCUUCUAUUAGUACCUACUGGGAAGCGACUUAUGAAGAUGGUGGUUUGUUUAACCUUGAGAUAAUAAGCACCAGUGGAUUGAUUCCACUAAUUAUUUUGGAAGACAAAACCAGUUCACAAGAGGAGACCACUUGUUAUGGGCUUUUUGCUGAGAUUAUAAGUCACAUUUCUUGUAGGGCCUGCGUCCGUGAAAAAGCUGCAGCAACAGUGCAUCCUAUUAGCCGGUCCCAGCUCUCAUUCCCUUACAACCAAGCUCGUUUCUCAUCCUUGAGGACAAGGAUGAUUUGGAGAGGUGGGUAUUUGUCAUGUACCUGGGGUAGGAUAGAAAGGGUAAUUGUGGUAGUUUAUUAUUACUGUAAGGGUAGUCUGGGUACUUACAUUGUGGGUCAUUUCUACAACUAUAUAGGUUGUGUUUGUUAUAGGAUAAUCAAUUAAGAAAUGAAUUAAUCUUGUUCCCCAAUU
Molecule: long non-coding RNA, 3344 nt
Organism: Papaver somniferum (opium poppy)
Lineage: Eukaryota; Viridiplantae; Streptophyta; Magnoliopsida; Ranunculales; Papaveraceae
Exons: 2
Source: RefSeq, a predicted model, not a curated record